AUUGAACGCUGGCGGCAGGCUUAACACCUGCAAGUCGAGCGGAGAGAGGUAGCUUGCUACUGAUCUUAGCGGCGGACGGGUGAGUAAUGCUUAGGAAUCUGCCUAUUAGUGGGGGACAACAUUUCGAAAGGAAUGCUAAUACCGCAUACGUCCUACGGGAGAAAGCAGGGGAUCUUCGGACCUUGCGCUAAUAGAUGAGCCUAAGUCGGAUUAGCUAGUUGGUGGGGUAAAGGCCUACCAAGGCGACGAUCUGUAGCGGGUCUGAGAGGAUGAUCCGCCACACUGGGACUGAGACACGGCCCAGACUCCUACGGGAGGCAGCAGUGGGGAAUAUUGGACAAUGGGCGCAAGCCUGAUCCAGCCAUGCCGCGUGUGUGAAGGAGGCCUUAUGGUUGUAAAGCACUUUAAGCGAGGAGGAGGCUACUUUAGUUAAUACCUAGAGAUAGUGGACGUUACUCGCAGAAUAAGCACCGGCUAACUCUGUGCCAGCCGCCGCAGUAA
RNAcentral lists this ribosomal RNA (501 nucleotides) under uncultured bacterium. Its description in RNAcentral is "partial 16S ribosomal RNA". It matches the Rfam family "Bacterial small subunit ribosomal RNA", at positions 30 to 523 of the family's 1533-position model. The record is from RNAcentral.